This is a non-coding RNA of Prionailurus viverrinus (fishing cat), 611 nucleotides long. Lineage: Eukaryota; Metazoa; Chordata; Mammalia; Carnivora; Felidae. The record is from the annotation of a RefSeq genome assembly.
AGCCCCAGGAGUCCCAGGUGUUCCCAUUCUGUGAUCACACAGAACACACACACCUCACCAUGGAGUUUGUGCUGGGCUGGGUUUUCCUGGUUGCUCUUUUAAAAGGUGUCCAAUGUGACGUGCAGCUGGUGGAGUCUGGAGGAGACCUGGUGAAGCCUGAGGGGUCCCUGAGACUCACCUCCGUUGCCUCUGGAUUCACCUUCAGUAGCUAUUACAUGCACUGGGUUCCCCAGGCUCCAGGGAAGGGGCUGCAGUGGGUCUCAUGGAUUAAUACUGAUGGAAGUAGCACAAGCUACGCAGACUCCGUGAAGGGCCGAUUCACCAUCUCCAGAGACAACGCCAAGAACACGCUGUAUCUGCAGAUAAACAACCUCAAGACCGAGGACACGGCCACAUAUUACUGUGCAAGAGACACGGUGAGGGGACAUGUAACCAUGGUGACAGUGACUCUGCUGAUGAUGACUCAGGAUGCUCAGGGAGCCUUGCAGAUGGACUACCCCUUCAGGCCUCCAGACUGUUACUACCUCGGCUACCUGGAGGAGAUUCCUCUUUCCAUGGUCACAAUUGACACAUGCUAUGGCAGCCUUGUAGAUAUGAUGAAGUUGGGUUAA